RNAcentral lists this ribosomal RNA (490 nucleotides) under uncultured bacterium. RNAcentral describes it as "bacterial SSU rRNA". It matches the Rfam family "Bacterial small subunit ribosomal RNA", at positions 899 to 1397 of the family's 1533-position model. The record is from RNAcentral.
ACUCAAAUGAAUAGACGGGCACCCGCACAAGCGGUGGAGCAUGCUGUUUAAUUCGAAAAUACGCGAAGAACCUUACCUAGGUUUGAUCCCCGGCAAUGCUAUGGAAACAUAGCGGAGGUUACCCGGGUGACAGAUGGUGCAUGGUUGUCGUCAGCUCGUGUCGUGAGAUGUUUGGUUAAGUCCAAUAACGAGCGCAACCCUCGUCUUUAGUUGCUAACAUUUAGUUGAGAACUCUAAAGACACUGCCAGUGUAAGCUGGAGGAAGGUGGGGAUGAGGUCAAAUCAUCAUGCCUCUUACAUCUAGGGCUACAGGCGUGCUACAAUGGCCGGUACAACGAGUCGCAACACGGUAACGUGGAGCUAAUCUCUUAAAGCCGGUCCCAGUCCGGAUUGUGGUCUGCAACUCGACCACAUGAAGUUGGAAUCGCUAGUAAUCCCGAAUCAGAAUGUCGGGGUGAAUACGUUCUCGGGUGUUGCACACACCGCCCGU